This 552-nucleotide long non-coding RNA is filed under the name Cricetulus griseus (Chinese hamster). RNAcentral's name for it is "lncRNA (ENSCGRG00015039825.1)". The record is from RNAcentral. Lineage: Eukaryota; Metazoa; Chordata; Mammalia; Rodentia; Cricetidae.
GUGAGUCAGACUCUUGGGAUUAGUGGCCACCAACUCUGUCCUUCCCCCAGCUGAGUCACCUCUAAGGCAGGGAGGGGAUUCUUUGGGGCUGAACAGGAAACAUACACAGAGUCCACCCAAGUUCCAUUCUCAGAGGCAAGAAUAAGUAGGGAAUGCCUGAAGUCAGGACAGAUAUCAGAGGCAGCUCCCCUCCGGUGAUCAUCCUGGCUGGUCCUGGAGACCUGUGCUCACUUCCUCAAGACUAGGGCCCCUGGACCAGGCCGUCUUCUUCUAAGGACAUGCCCUCCCCCAGCACACACAACACAGAAAUUGUCAAGCAGUUUAUACAUCCAACCCAGAAUCGGCAAGGGAAAUGCAACCACAGGUGAGGCGAAGAAAAACGUCUCAACGGCCAACGCAAGCAGCAAGCAGAGCCUUCAUCCAGUAGCUGAUGGAAGCAGAAGCAGACACCCACAGCUAAACACUGAGCUGAACUCCUGGAAUCGAAUUGCAGAGAGGGAGGAAUGUUACAGAACACAGAUCAGAAUGCUGGGAACCAAGAAUUGGGAAAUU